This is a non-coding RNA of Schizosaccharomyces pombe (fission yeast), 570 nucleotides long. NCBI's taxonomy places the organism in Eukaryota, Fungi, Ascomycota, Schizosaccharomycetes, Schizosaccharomycetales, Schizosaccharomycetaceae. The record is from the annotation of a GenBank genome assembly.
CUCACAAGUAGGAACAUCCAUACCAGCCAAUCUUUGCUCCCGCACAAAACCCGCCGUAAGUGAGCGACAACGGGCAUCUACCACAUUCCCAUUUUUUUCACGACGAACAGAAGGGUGUAAACAUAAAUUUUUGCGACUGGUUAGUCCGAGACCCAAAAAUGGUUCUUCAUAUCCUAACUGUGAAGUCCGAUACGCCAUUAAACGCUUCAAUUCAGCUAAUGCUUUAUCAAUUUCCGACAUGGUACGUGAACAAUAGAUGAGCUUGCGAUGCUCAGGAUAAUGUUGUUGAUAUGAAACAAUAAGGGACAAAAGAGAAAUGGUCUUUCCAGUACCCGAAGGCAUUUCUAAGAGCGCAAUGCCUCCCGCAUCCAAAGAAUGUUUCAAAUCACACAUAUACUGAUACUGCUCGGGAUAGAUGCGUGGAUAAGGAAACAGAAUAGGUAGAUCGUCAAUAUAGAACUUCAUUAUGGGUGUAAUCCGUUGACUUUGAGGAAAUUAAUUUGAGUAUAUGACAGCCUAUUGGACCAAAAAAAAAUUUAGGAAUUAAAUAAUAAGAUAAAAAGUUGAAAC